This is a long non-coding RNA of Helianthus annuus (common sunflower), 832 nucleotides long. RefSeq lists it as uncharacterized. The record is from RefSeq and is a predicted model, not a curated record. The transcript has 4 exons. NCBI's taxonomy places the organism in Eukaryota, Viridiplantae, Streptophyta, Magnoliopsida, Asterales, Asteraceae.
UUAGAUUCAAUUUGAUUAUCAAAACUCAUAACUUAAAGAAGUUCGAAUUCAAAUCAUCUCAUCUGAAGAUUUGUACUGCGUAAUUUGAGGUAAAUAUCAAUUAUUUGUCGUGAAAUCACUGAUUUUUGGGUUAGUUUGUCAGGGAAUUGAUGAUUUUAUGGUUAAUUUGUCGUGAAAUCAAGUUAACUUUCAAUUGAUCGUAGGGUAAUGUUUGAUGUUUGUUAGUGAACAGGAAUUUACCAGGUGUAUGUAUUCCCGUGGGGAGUUUUCAGUCGCUUCUUGUCGGGAUUUUCUUGGGAAACAUGUGAUUUCAUUCUACCCAUACGAGUGGGUUAAACGGGUUCCAAAAAUAUUAAUUUCUUUGCGUGGAGAGCCGAACAAGACCGUCUUUCUACACUCAACGGGCUGUGCAGAAAAGGAAUAUGCUUAGAGGUCCGAUUUCAUAUCGACUAUGCGGGGAGGUGGAUGAAGAUGAUGACCAUCGAAUUUAUGGAGACAUACAGGCAAGUGUUAGUGAAAUCUAAGUCCGAUCUGGCAAGGCCUUUUGAUGAAGCUACUGUUUUUUCUCAAGAAUAUUGAAACAUAGCUUAGUUUUAUAAGUAAAGUUCUUCAGAUUCAAAUAAAUUAAAGCUCGAGAAUUUUGCUUUCUUGCCAAAGAUUAUUUUUGAAAAAUAUGAAGAGUUCAUGUAUCCUCACCAAAGAGAUUGAAGUGACAAAUAGCUUGUAGAACAAACCACUUAUGUAAGGUAAUUUGAAACAUGAAAGGAGUUUCUACAGCAGUGACUGAAGAACCCAAGUUUGUUGGUUUAUUGACUUGUAGUGAAAAAUGAAG